Long non-coding RNA from Papaver somniferum (opium poppy), 212 nucleotides. RefSeq lists it as uncharacterized. The transcript has 3 exons. The record is from RefSeq and is a predicted model, not a curated record. NCBI's taxonomy places the organism in Eukaryota, Viridiplantae, Streptophyta, Magnoliopsida, Ranunculales, Papaveraceae.
UAUCCUCAAGGAAGACGGUAAACCCUCAAAUCCAAAUUAUGUUUGCUUAUCUGAUUUCUCUUUCUGAAAACAUAGUGAAUUAGCCACCGAUUCUGCAAUCUUUGAUUAUUGAUCAUCUUAGCAUCUAAGCACGAGAAGAGGCUGAAAAGGCCAAAGAAGGUGAUGGAUCCACAACACUUUCAAUGAGUGGAAGAUGAUUUGGUUAAAUGGGA